Molecule: ribosomal RNA, 819 nt
Filed under: Triticum aestivum (bread wheat)
Lineage: Eukaryota; Viridiplantae; Streptophyta; Magnoliopsida; Poales; Poaceae
Description: partial small subunit ribosomal RNA
Source: RNAcentral
AUGGGUUCUGUUCUCUAUGCAGGAGUUUCAAGUGCAGCAAGGGAGGAAGGGCGUGUUCUUGGUACAGCCAGUGCACCCUACUACAUAACACAGAAAGGCCUGCUUAAAAAGCAGCUUCUGCGUACCUGUGGAGCCCUUGUAGUUACUGGCUUUGCAAUCUAUGGCCUUAAGGUUUUGAUUGAUAUGUGUGACGACACAGAAGUUGGUAAAUUUGAUGCUUUGAAACAAGCGGCUGCGGAUUUAAGCACAAAAUUCAGUGACGUAAAGGGGGUCGACGAAGCCAAGGCUGACCUUGAGGACAUAGUUCUCUACCUGCGAGACCCCAAGAGUUUCACUCGCCUUGGUGGCAAGCUUCCAAAGGGUGUUUUGCUUACAGGCCCACCCGGCACAGGGAAGACCAUGUUGGCAAGGGCCAUGGCCGCGGAAGCCGGCGUCCCGUUCUUUGCAUGCAGUGGGAGUGAUUUUGAGGAGGUGUAUGUGGGUCUUGGGGCUAAGAGAGUACGGGAGCUCUUUCGUGUAGCAAAGAAGCGAUCUCCUUGCAUAAUAUUCAUCGAUGAGAUCGACGCCGUUGCUGGACGCAGACAUGCAUCAGACCCGUCGUGGCAGAGGCAGACCAUGAACCAGCUGCUUUCUGAGAUGGAUGGCUUCAGGCAGAAUGAAGGGAUAAUCGUGAUCGCAGCGACAAACUUCCCGGAGUCGCUAGAUAAAGCCAUUGCUAGGCCUGGGCGUCUUGACCGUCAAAUCCAUGUUCCUACUCCAUAUGUUGAGGGCCGACGGCAGAUCCUUGAGGCUUACAUGUCAAAGGUCCGUAAAGCCUAG